Mauremys mutica (yellowpond turtle) is the source of this 823-nucleotide long non-coding RNA. RefSeq lists it as uncharacterized. The transcript has 4 exons. Lineage: Eukaryota; Metazoa; Chordata; Testudines; Geoemydidae. The record is from RefSeq and is a predicted model, not a curated record.
ACUGGACACAGCAGUACAUUUGUACACACCAUUGGUCACUGGAAAGAUAGUAUGAUUUGUCAAACUUGAUCAGGUCAAUCAAGACUAGUAUCCCCCUAUUAGCAAUAGCCAAUACAUGUUGCUUCAGAGUGUGGCCUUGGGGGACUGCCCAUCACAGACAUGGUGAGAUGAGAUAGGUCACCAAGGAAUUGUCUCAGGAGACUGAAGAGCCCAUUAUCGAGGGGCGGCACGUCUAACAGGCAGAGGAAGGCUGAGCCUGCCCAAAGCGCCGCAUGGCCCUGCCCACGCUCCGUCCAGAGGCCCCCUCUCCUCUGAGUGCUAGUUGGCUCCAACCCAGAGACCAGCUGCCUCCCUGUUUCUCCUACCCCAAAUUUUUCCACCUAAAACCCUGGAGAAAUAUUCCUCUUCUCCAGAGAUCUUAUGAUGCCCUCCUCCUCCUCCCAGAAGUAUUCUACCUCCUCCAUCCACACCCGUCAUCCAAGAGAUUUUCCAUCUUUUUCUAUUUUUUUCCCCUAUAGACAAGGGAAAAGAAAAUGAUACCUCAAGACUUUUCUUUGCUAAAGGAAAUUUCCUCAGAUACCCAUAAUUUUUGAAGGAUUUAUGAAACUUCAUGAGAAGGCAGACAUAAUCUAAUGAGACCUUAUUCAUCUGGAGAGAAUUUUUUUUAGAGAUUGUGGCUGAAAAUGGCUGACAAUGGAAAACCACCAAAAUCAGGAUACAAUAAAAAUAUACAGAAAAACAGAAAAAACAUGCAUUAAUUGGUUUACCUUUAUGUAUUCUGUUCUUCCAACAAAUUCGUGUGAAUAAAUUGAAUUGUAUAUUG